GACGAACGUUGGCGGCGUGCUUAGUACAUGCCAGUCAACUGAAGCAGUGGUAGCAAUAUCGCUGUGGAGGUGGCGCACGGGUGAGUAACACGUAGGUAAUCUGCCUUCAGGUCUGGCAUAACUCCGGGAAACCGGGGCUAAUAGCAGAUGAUGCAGCGGCUCGACAUCGAGACAGUUGUUAAAGCUAUGGCGCCUGAAGAUGAGCCUGCGUCUGAUUAGCUAGUUGGCGGGGUAACGGCCCACCAAGGCAACGAUCAGUAGCUGGUCUGAGAGGAUGAUCAGCCACACUGGAACUGAGACACGGUCCAGACUCCUACGGGAGGCAGCAGUAAGGAAUAUUGCUCAAUGGGAGAAAUCCUGAAGCAGCAACGCCGCGUGAGGGACGAAGGGCUUUUGCUUGUAAACCUCUGUAGUGAGAGAAAAAAAUCCCAAUCUUUGGGACAUGAUGGUAUCUCAAAAGUAAGCCCCGGCUAACUACGUG
Molecule: ribosomal RNA, 481 nt
Filed under: uncultured bacterium
Lineage: Bacteria
Description: partial 16S ribosomal RNA
Rfam family: Bacterial small subunit ribosomal RNA
Source: RNAcentral